UCCGAACGCUAGGUCGGUUCU
Molecule: microRNA, 21 nt
Filed under: Human betaherpesvirus 5
Lineage: Duplodnaviria; Heunggongvirae; Peploviricota; Herviviricetes; Herpesvirales; Orthoherpesviridae
Description: hcmv-miR-US25-1-3p
Gene: hcmv-miR-US25-1-3p
Source: miRBase by way of RNAcentral